This 253-nucleotide ribosomal RNA is filed under the name uncultured bacterium. RNAcentral's name for it is "partial 16S ribosomal RNA". It matches the Rfam family "Bacterial small subunit ribosomal RNA", at positions 524 to 776 of the family's 1533-position model. The record is from RNAcentral.
UACGUAGGGGGCAAGCGUUGUCCGGAAUCAUUGGGCGUAAAGAGCGCGUAGGCGGCCCGAUAAGUCCGCUGUGAAAGUCGGGGGCUCAACCCUCGGAUGCCGAUCGAUACUGUCGGGCUAGAGUCCGGAAGAGGCGAGUGGAAUUCCUGGUGUAGCGGUGAAAUGCGCAGAUAUCAGGAGGAACACCCGUAGCGAAGGCGGCACUCUGGGCCGGAACUGACGCUGAGGAGCGAAAGCGUGGGGAGCGAACAGG